UGUUGGCAUGAGUAGCGAGAUGUGGGUGAGAAUCCCACAGGCCGUAAACCCAAGGUUUCCAGGGGAAGGUUCGUCCGCCCUGGGUUAGUCGGGACCUAAGCUGAGGCCGAAAGGCGUAGGGGAUGGACAACAGGUUGAUAUUCCUGUACUACCGAUAACCGUUUGAGAGAAGGGAUGACACAGUAGGAUAAGCUAAGCACACUGUUGGUUAUGUGUGCCCAAGCAUUGAGGCAGUCAAAG
RNAcentral lists this ribosomal RNA (240 nucleotides) under Clostridioides difficile. RNAcentral's name for it is "partial 23S ribosomal RNA". It matches the Rfam family "Bacterial large subunit ribosomal RNA", at positions 1295 to 1533 of the family's 2925-position model. Lineage: Bacteria; Bacillati; Bacillota; Clostridia; Peptostreptococcales; Peptostreptococcaceae. The record is from RNAcentral.